UUGGAGGGCAAGUCUGGUGCCAGCAGCCGCGGUAAUUCCAGCUCCAAUAGCGUAUAUUAAAGUUGUUGCAGUUAAGAAGCUCGUAGUUGAAUUUCGAGACCGGUUUAUUGGUCGUGCUUUUGUACGUACUGGUAUUAUUGGUUUCUCCUUUCUGACGAAUCUUAAUGCCAUUAAUUUGGUGUUUUGGGGAAUCAGGACUGUUACUUUGGAAAAAUUAGAGUGUUUAAAGCAGGCUCACGCUUGAAUACAUUAGCAUGGAAUAACGGAAUAGGACGUUUGAUUCUAUUUUGUUGGUUUCUAGGAUCGACGUAAUGAUUAAUAGGGAUAGUUGGGGGCAUUAGUAUUCAAUUGUCAGAGGUGAAAUUCUUGGAUUUAUUGAAGACUAACUACUGCGAAAGCAUUUGCCAAGGAUGUUUUCAUUAAUCAAGAACGAAAGUUAGGGGAUCGAAGACGAUCAGAUACCGUCGUAGUCUUAACCAUAAACUAUGCCGACUAGGGAUCGGAUGAUGUUAAUUUUUUAAUGACUCAUUCGGCGCCUUACGGGAAAC
RNAcentral lists this ribosomal RNA (548 nucleotides) under uncultured Glomus. RNAcentral describes it as "SSU rRNA". It matches the Rfam family "Eukaryotic small subunit ribosomal RNA", at positions 548 to 1098 of the family's 1831-position model. The record is from RNAcentral. Lineage: Eukaryota; Fungi; Glomeromycota; Glomeromycetes; Glomerales; Glomeraceae.